UGGGGAAUAUUGCGCAAUGGGCGAAAGCCUGACGCAGCGACGCCGCGUGGGUGAUGAAGGCCUUCGGGUCGUAAAGCCCUGUCGGGAGGGCCGAAACAUCGGCGAUCUAAUAUAUCGUCGACUUGACGGUACCUCCUAAGGAAGCACCGGCUAACUCCGUGCCAGCAGCCGCGGUAAUACGGAGGGUGCAAGCGUUGUUCGGAAUUACUGGGCGUAAAGCGCGUGUAGGCGGCCUCCUAAGUCUGGUGUGAAAGCCCGGGGCUUACCCCCGGAAGUGCAUUGGAUACUGGGAGGCUGGAGUACCGGAGAGGAGGGUGGAAUUCCUGGUGUAGCGGUGAAAUGCGUAGAUAUCAGGAAGAACACCGGUGGCGAAGGCGGCCCUCUGGACGGAUACUGACGCUGAGACGCGAAAGCGUGGGGAGCAA
This 425-nucleotide ribosomal RNA is filed under the name uncultured bacterium. Its description in RNAcentral is "bacterial SSU rRNA". It matches the Rfam family "Bacterial small subunit ribosomal RNA", at positions 355 to 771 of the family's 1533-position model. The record is from RNAcentral.